AAGUCGCAACAAGGUCUCCGUAGGUGAACCUGCGGAGGGAUCAUUACUGAGUGAGGGCCCUCGUGGUCCGACCUCCAACCCUUUGUCGUCCGACUCUGUUGCCUCGGGGGCGUCCCCGGCGUUCGCGCCAGGGGCCCCCGGCGGUCCACACAACUCUGCAUCUUUGCGUCUGAGUAAACAUUAAAUGAAACAAAA
RNAcentral lists this unclassified non-coding RNA (195 nucleotides) under plant metagenome. RNAcentral describes it as "partial contains small subunit ribosomal RNA and internal transcribed spacer 1". The stretch from base 1 to 46 matches the Rfam family "Eukaryotic small subunit ribosomal RNA", at positions 1786 to 1831 of the family's 1831-position model. The record is from RNAcentral.